Molecule: ribosomal RNA, 505 nt
Filed under: uncultured bacterium
Lineage: Bacteria
Description: partial 16S ribosomal RNA
Rfam family: Bacterial small subunit ribosomal RNA
Source: RNAcentral
GACGAACGCUGGCGGCGUGCCUAAUACAUGCAAGUAGAACGCACAGUUUAUACCGUAGCUUGCUACACCAUAGACUGUGAGUUGCGAACGGGUGAGUAACGCGUAGGUAACCCGCCUGGUAGCGGGGGAUAACUAUUGGAAACGAUAGCUAAUACCGCAUAAUAUUGAUUAUUGCAUGAUAAUUGAUUGAAAGAUGCUAUUGCAUCACUACCAGAUGGACCUGCGUUGUAUUAGCUAGUAGGUGAGGUAACGGCUCACCUAGGCGACGAUACAUAGCCGACCUGAGAGGGUGAUCGGCCACACUGGGACUGAGACACGGCCCAGACUCCUACGGGAGGCAGCAGUAGGGAAUCUUCGGCAAUGGACGAAAGUCUGACCGAGCAACGCCGCGUGAGUGAAGAAGGUUGUCGGAUCGUAAAGCUCUGUUGUAAGAGAAGAACGGGUGUGAGAGUGGAAAGUUCACACUGUGACGGUAUCUUACCAGAAAGGGACGGCUAACUACGUG